UUGCUUAAACUGCCAAGCCCGCAACGCAAUAAAAAUAAUACGAACAACAUCAAGAUCCCGCCGGAUACACGUCCGACCUCACAUAUGCUAGUACAACCCAAAGGCUUAAAUCGUAGUAAAAGAAGUGCUGAACUGUGCAUAAAGCGCUUAUAGACACGGAGAUAUGCGGCCACUGACAUUCAUUACGACAUAAAUUCGUUUAGUUGCUUGGACCGGGGUCUGGCACCAAGGACGAGCUCCGUUGCUACACGCACGGCGCAAAAGGCCGUAAAGCAAGUGCGUCCUUGCCACAGGGAUCCAAGAGAUGAGAGUUGAGCCCUCACUAUAUAGUCUCUCCUCUGCCAGACAGCCACCUUGGGAUGUGGCUGUGGCCCGGCAACCUGUGCAAGUAUGUGUGUAAUUUAAUAAGUUAAUAAAUGAGUGAGGCCACGGUACGUUGCUGUCAGGGAAGGAUGACGCUGAAGAUGCUCUUCAAAGGCCAGAUACUUGGGUGGAGCUGCACUGACUGAGUCCUGGAGACUGGCCUCCGAGGAACAAUACAACCCGUCAACGUGUUAACCUCAGUUCCAUCUGUCGGUGUAUGUGCAAGUUUGACCUGCUACACAAAUGACCAUCAGGGCAAGUCAGCAGCUGCCCGGCUGCCUAAAUCGACCUUGCAAGAAGAGUGGUGGAAAUGGGGGGGAUUCUGGAUGGCCU
Long non-coding RNA from Drosophila elegans, 696 nucleotides. RefSeq lists it as uncharacterized. The transcript has 3 exons. Lineage: Eukaryota; Metazoa; Arthropoda; Insecta; Diptera; Drosophilidae. The record is from RefSeq and is a predicted model, not a curated record.